AGCAAAAACAAAAAACCAAAAGCAAAACAUACAUCGUUCUGCCCUGUGGUUCUAAUCCUAAAAUUCGGGAUCUCGAUUCGUAGGCAACAAAGAAAAUUGUUCCCCGGGAGCCUGCGAUCUAUCAAUCUCGAGGCGGCUGCGGAAGCAGGCGAUCGGUCGGCGAUGCCGAAGAAGAUGGGCGUAAACACGAAAGCGGAGGCCGCGCGCGCCCGUCGGAGCGCUGCAGAGGCGGAUCGCAAGGACCGCGCGGCCAAGGAGAAGGAUGAACAAUACUGGCGCGAGGCGGAGGGUUCCAAGACCCGCGCAGCCAAGAAACGUGAGGACGAGACAGAGAAGCGCGCCGAGGCCGCCGCCCGCCGGGCCGAGAAUCGCAAGCUCGCCGAGCAGGAGCAGCGGGAGAUCGACGCCGCCGGCCGCAAGCCUGACCGCAAGGCCGCCCGCGUUUCCAUCCCCGUACCCAAGGUCACCGAGGCCGAGCUCCAGCGCCGCCGUGAGGCGGAACGGCAGCGCAUCCUUCAGAACGCUGAGGUCGCCAAGAAGCAGCAGAGCCGGUCCGCCGAUGAGGAGGAGUACGACCGGAUCGUGAUGGUGGAGAACACCAAUAGGGACGACUCUGUCAUCGAGGCCCAUUCGGUGGAGGACGCCAUUGCCCGAAUGGCCCUCUCCGAACCAGCGCUGCCUACCGAUCGUCACCCUGAGAGGAGGCUCAAGGCUUCUUUCAAGGCUUUUGAAGAAGCAGAACUUCCCAAAUUGAAGGAAGAGAAACCAGGUCUGACCCUCAAUCAGUACAAGGAUAUGAUAUGGAAGCUCUGGAAGAAAUCCCCUGACAAUCCCCUCAGCCAGGUAUCCUCCCAGAUCAAUGUUCUUCAUAUCCUGACCUAAUGAAGGAUGGGUUCCCGUUGGUGCAUGCAGCAGUUUGUAUGCAUAUAUCUUGAGGCUGCUACUGAGUGACCGCAUGCAACUUUCAAUCAAACAAUUGCAGAUAAUGGAGGUGCAAGUUAAUUCCAGUUGCUGUCUCUUCGAAGUACGGAUGGUUCUGUUGAUAAUAUGCAGUGCGAGUACCAGUAUUGUAUACUAAAAGAGCAAUAGAUCUUGAGACAAUUAAGACAAACUACAGAUAUUACUUUUCUUUGUCAACACUUGGAUGUUGCAGAAUUCUAGUACUUCGAUAUCGUUGGAUUGCAUA
Molecule: RNA transcript, 1186 nt
Organism: Musa acuminata AAA Group (dessert banana)
Lineage: Eukaryota; Viridiplantae; Streptophyta; Magnoliopsida; Zingiberales; Musaceae
Exons: 4
Source: RefSeq, a predicted model, not a curated record